Molecule: ribosomal RNA, 440 nt
Filed under: uncultured bacterium
Lineage: Bacteria
Description: partial 16S ribosomal RNA
Rfam family: Bacterial small subunit ribosomal RNA
Source: RNAcentral
CCUACGGGUGGCAGCAGUGGGGCAUAUUGCACAAUGGGGGAAACCCUGAUGCAGCGACGCCGCGUGAGUGCAGAAGUAUUUCGGUAUGUAAAGCUCUAUCAUCAGGGAAGAAAAUGACAGUACCUGACCAAGAAUCCCCGUCUAACUACGUUCCAGCAGCCGCGGUAAUACGUAGGGGGCAAGCGUUAUCCGGAUUUACUGGGGGUCAAGGGGGCGUAGGAGGUUAUGUAAGUCUGGAGUUAAAUGCCGGGGCCCAACCCACGGACUUAUUUGGAAACUGUGUAACGGGAGUAUAGCAGGGGCAGGCGGAAUUCGUGGUGGAGCGGUGAAAGGCGUAGAUAUCAGGAGGAACACCGGUGGCGAAGGCGGCCUGCUGGACUGAAACUGACGUUGAGGCUCGAAAGCGUGGGGAGCAAACAGGAUUAGAUACCCCGGUAGUC